Molecule: ribosomal RNA, 695 nt
Filed under: uncultured Gilliamella sp.
Lineage: Bacteria; Pseudomonadati; Pseudomonadota; Gammaproteobacteria; Orbales; Orbaceae
Description: bacterial SSU rRNA
Rfam family: Bacterial small subunit ribosomal RNA
Source: RNAcentral
UAGAAUUCCACGUGUAGCGGUGAAAUGCGUAGAGAUGUGGAGGAAUACCGGUGGCUAAGGCGGCCUUCUGGACAGAUACUGACGCUGAGAUGCGAAAGCGUGGGGAGCAAACAGGAUUAGAUACCCUGGUAGUCCACGCUGUAAACGAUGUCGAUUUGGAGUUUGUUGCCUAGAGUGAUGGGCUCCGAAGCUAACGCGAUAAAUCGACCGCCUGGGGAGUACGGCCGCAAGGUUAAAACUCAAAUGAAUUGACGGGGGCCCGCACAAGCGGUGGAGCAUGUGGUUUAAUUCGAUGCAACGCGAAGAACCUUACCUGGUCUUGACAUCCACAGAAUCUUGCAGAGAUGCGAGAGUGCCUUCGGGAACUGUGAGACAGGUGCUGCAUGGCUGUCGUCAGCUCGUGUUGUGAAAUGUUGGGUUAAGUCCCGCAACGAGCGCAACCCUUAUCCUUUGUUGCCAGCGAUUCGGUCGGGAACUCAAAGGAGACUGCCGUUGAUAAAGCGGAGGAAGGUGGGGACGACGUCAAGUCAUCAUGGCCCUUACGACCAGGGCUACACACGUGCUACAAUGGCGUAUACAAAGGGAGGCGACCUCGCGAGAGCAAGCGGACCUCAUAAAGUACGUCUAAGUCCGGAUUGGAGACUGCAACUCGACUCCAUGAAGUCGGAAUCGCUAGUAAUCGUGAAUCAGAAUGU